Molecule: non-coding RNA, 71 nt
Organism: Angiostrongylus cantonensis (rat lungworm)
Lineage: Eukaryota; Metazoa; Nematoda; Chromadorea; Rhabditida; Metastrongylidae
Source: Rfam
GCAUUGGUGGUUCAAUGGUAGAUUGCUCGCCUGCCACGCGGGCGACCCGGGUUCGACUCUCAGCCAAUGCA